UCUCCUGGAAAACGGGUGGUAAUGCCGGAUGCUCCGACUCCUCGCAUGGGGUGUCGGGAAAGAUUUCAUCGGUAUGGGAUGGGGUCGCGUCCUAUCAGGUAGUCGGCGGGGUAACGGCCCACCGAGCCUACGACGGGUAGCCGGCCUGAGAGGGCGACCGGCCACAUUGGGACUGAGAUACGGCCCAGACUCCUACGGGAGGCAGCAGUGGGGAAUAUUGCACAAUGGGCGCAAGCCUGAUGCAGCGACGCCGCGUGCGGGAUGACGGCCUUCGGGUUGUAAACCGCUUUUGAUCGGGAGCAAGCCUUCGGGUGAGUGUACCUUUCGAAUAAGCACCGGCUAACUACGUGCCAGCAGCCGCGGUAAUACGUAGGGUGCAAGCGUUAUCCGGAAUUAUUGGGCGUAAAGGGCUCGUAGGCGGUUCGUCGCGUCCGGUGUGAAAGUCCAUCGCUUAACGGUGGAUCUGCGCCGGGUACGGGCGGGCUGGAGUGCGGUAGGGGAGACUGGAAUUCCCGGUGUAACGGUGGAAUGUGUAUAUAUC
RNAcentral lists this ribosomal RNA (541 nucleotides) under Bifidobacterium pseudocatenulatum. Its description in RNAcentral is "bacterial SSU rRNA". It matches the Rfam family "Bacterial small subunit ribosomal RNA", at positions 146 to 698 of the family's 1533-position model. The record is from RNAcentral. Lineage: Bacteria; Bacillati; Actinomycetota; Actinomycetes; Bifidobacteriales; Bifidobacteriaceae.